GCAACUGUAGCUCAGCGAGGUGAGAGCACUGGUUUGAAAGUCCAGGGGUCGUUCGUUCAAAUCGAACCGGUUGCACCA
This 78-nucleotide transfer RNA is filed under the name Klebsiella pneumoniae. RNAcentral's name for it is "tRNA-Phe". It matches the Rfam family "tRNA". Rfam says of the family: Transfer RNA (tRNA) molecules are approximately 80 nucleotides in length. Their secondary structure includes four short double-helical elements and three loops (D, anti-codon, and T loops). Further hydrogen bonds mediate the characteristic L-shaped molecular structure. tRNAs have two regions of fundamental functional importance: the anti-codon, which is responsible for specific mRNA codon recognition, and the 3' end, to which the tRNAs corresponding amino acid is attached (by aminoacyl-tRNA synthetases). tRNAs cope with the degeneracy of the genetic code in two manners: having more than one tRNA (with a specific anti-codon) for a particular amino acid; and 'wobble' base-pairing, i.e. permitting non-standard base-pairing at the 3rd anti-codon position. Lineage: Bacteria; Pseudomonadati; Pseudomonadota; Gammaproteobacteria; Enterobacterales; Enterobacteriaceae. RNAcentral also lists the same sequence under 31 other names. The record is from RNAcentral.